Molecule: ribosomal RNA, 762 nt
Filed under: Candida albicans
Lineage: Eukaryota; Fungi; Ascomycota; Pichiomycetes; Serinales; Debaryomycetaceae
Description: eukaryotic LSU rRNA
Rfam family: Eukaryotic large subunit ribosomal RNA
Source: RNAcentral
UUUGAAAUCUGGCGUCUUUGGCGUCCGAGUUGUAAUUUGAAGAAGGUAUCUUUGGGCCCGGCUCUUGUCUAUGUUCCUUGGAACAGGACGUCACAGAGGGUGAGAAUCCCGUGCGAUGAGAUGACCCGGGUCUGUGUAAAGUUCCUUUGACGAGUCGAGUUGUUUGGGAAUGCAGCUCUAAGUGGGUGGUAAAUUCCAUCUAAAGCUAAAUAUUGGCGAGAGACCGAUAGCGAACAAGUACAGUGAUGGAAAGAUGAAAAGAACUUUGAAAAGAGAGUGAAAAAGUACGUGAAAUUGUUGAAAGGGAAGGGCUUGAGAUCAGACUUGGUAUUUUGCAUGCUGCUCUCUCGGGGGCGGCCGCUGCGGUUUACCGGGCCAGCAUCGGUUUGGAGCGGCAGGAUAAUGGCGGAGGAAUGUGGCACGGCUUCUGCUGUGUGUUAUAGCCUCUGACGAUACUGCCAGCCUAGACCGAGGACUGCGGUUUUUUUACCUAGGAUGUUGGCAUAAUGAUCUUAAGUCGCCCGUCUUGAAACACGGACCAAGGAGUCUAACGUCUAUGCGAGUGUUUGGGUGUAAAACCCGUACGCGUAAUGAAAGUGAACGAAGGUGGGGGCCCAUUAGGGUGCACCAUCGACCGAUCCUGAUGUGUUCGGAUGGAUUUGAGUAAGAGCAUAGCUGUUGGGACCCGAAAGAUGGUGAACUAUGCCUGAAUAGGGUGAAGCCAGAGGAAACUCUGGUGGAGGCUCGUAGCGGUUCUGACGU